GUGCCGAGUCUUUGCGCACCACCUCUCUCGCGCAAUUCCCCCCUUGGUUCUUUCUUCUUGUUCGGUUGCCUUUACCCUCUCUGUUUUUUCUUUUUGUUUUGUUUGAAAAAACCCUAAUGCCGAGGAUGGAUUUCCCCCUGUUUUUCUCCACACACUGUCUCUUUCUUGAUGUCUGGUGCGGCGACUCCGAAGAAGUCUAGUCGUCCUGGAUCUUUAUCCACUGCAAUUUCCUCACAGUUUUUAUAUAUAAAACUAAAAAGAAUUCAAGUUACUGCAGUUUAGUCGUUUGGACGAGAACUGUAGGUGCUUGUGCCCUACUCUGCUUCUGCCUUACUCUGCUUCUUCGUCUGAUCUAGUCUCUAGUGGUGAGUAGGAGAGCCCGACCACUGUCGCCGCUCGCGUUGCUCCCGUGCGAGCGACACGGGCGGAACCCAGAAACCUAGCGCCCCCACCGCGAGAUCCACCCCUCCUCUCCCGCCGCCGCCGGAGGAAGCUGCAGGGCGAAGCCGCUGCAGCCGACGGCGGCGGCGGGGGCCUUGCUCGCGUCGUGGGAUGGCCCUGGUCACGGUCGUGCCUCCCUCGGUGACCGCGGCGGCGGAUUUGGCAAGGGCGCUCGGAUUCGACUCGUCCGGCUCCGGUGGCCUGCCUCAUCGUCGACAUGAAGGUGCCGUUGCUCGAGCGCGGCCCAUGGUCUGCUAGGUGGUGGAGGGGCGCUCGGGGGUGGCGCUGGCGCCCAGAUCCACCUCGUCCUUCUCAGGUGCGUCGGGGGCUGGCCUGCUCCUUUCCUUCAGCGCUGUCUCGAUCCGGCCUGCCUCUGUGCGCCGCUGCAUCUUGCGGCGGCCCUCGGCUUCUCCGGCGAGUGACUGUUCCAGCUCGGGGAGGCGCGACCCUGGCUGUUCCUGUGCUCGAUGGGGCAGACUAAUUUCUGCCCAGAUCCGGUGCGCGCCGAUGUGGUCUCGCAAGAUCCGGGCAGCACACGCCCUGAAGAUGCCGUCAUGGUUUGUUGGUUGCUCACGCUCCGGAUGCAAAAUUCUGGGUCGACUUGGUCGACGCCGGUGGCAACGGCGGCUGUGGCUGUCGUUUUCCUCGCGGAGGGGCCGCCGUGGAGCUGUUUUUCAGCCGCAAACCUCCUGUUUCGUUGUUUUCCGGGUGAAAACCUAUGGUCGGGCUUGCCGGAUCGGGUGGCGGUGGUGUCUCUGGCAUCAUUCCCUUCUUGGAGGCGCCAUCUUGGAGACACGAACUUCGGCUAGUGUUGGUGUGUGUGGAUGAAAGAGGUGCGGCUGGUGGUCUGUUUGUGCGGCCGACUGGGGUCGACGGUGGUGUGUGAUGUGGUGGUGGAGUGGUGGUGGUGCGGCCGGCUUGCGCUGGUGUGCACGGUGAAGCGAUCCGGGUGUAGACUCGGCUCCUUGAUGCCCUUCGGCUUCGCCGGCGGUGCCGCUGUUGUGUUGUAGCCUCGGCUGCGUGUGACUCUUCGUCCGGGUGUGGACUCGGUCGCUCAUUGCCCUUCGGCUGCACCAAUAGCCUUGAGGCACCAUGGAUGGUCUCGGUUGAUUGGAGCUCUUCGUCUACGGUGGUGGUGUUCUCGUGCAGCUCAGGUGCUACCGGAAGUGAUCGAAGGCCUUCAGUAUGGGCAAUCUGUGCUGCUGUGUUCAAGUUGACCAGUCUACCGUGGCCAUCAGGGAGCAGUUUGGGAAGUUUGACAGUGUGCUUGAGCCAGGAUGCCACUGCCUGCCUUGGAUCUUUGGGAAGCGUGUAGUUGGCCAUCUCACACUGAGGUUGCAGCAGCUGGAUGUGCGGUGUGAAACUAAGACAAAGGACAAUGUGUUUGUCACUGUUGUUGCAUCGAUUCAGUACCGACCUCUGGCUGGCAAAGAAAGUGAUGCAUACUACAAACUAACCAACACAAGAUCCCAGAUUCAAGCCUAUGUCUUUGAUGUGAUCAGGGCAAGUGUUCCAAAGCUCAACCUGGAUGAUGCUUUCGUGCAGAAGAACGAUAUAGCAAUGGCUGUGGAGGAUGAACUUGAAAAGGCUAUGUCGGCAUAUGGCUUUGAGAUCGUGCAGACCCUCAUUGUCGACAUCGAGCCAGAUGCGCAUGUCAAGCAGGCGAUGAAUGAGAUCAAUGCAGCUGCAAGGAUGAGGGUGGCUGCAAACGAGAAGGCGGAGGCUGAGAAGAUUGUCCAGAUCAAGCGUGCCGAGGGUGAAGCAGAGGCCAAGUACCUGUCUGGCCUCGGUAUCGCCCGCCAGCGCCAGGCCAUUGUGGAUGGCCUGAGGGACAGCGUCCUGGGCUUCUCAGUCAAUGUGCCUGGCACCACUGCAAAGGACGUGAUGGACAUGGUGCUGAUCACCCAGUACUUUGAUACUAUGAAAGAGGUCGGCGCGUCCUCCAAGUCCUCGGCGGUGUUCAUCCCCCAUGGCCCUGGUGCGGUGCGUGACAUCGCCACGCAGAUCCGCGACGGUCUUCUUCAGGGCCAGUCUGCCUCUGACAACUAAGCAGUUUGCUUCGCCGGCAUGAACUUUGAAGCUGGUGGUGGUUUGUGGUUUGCUAGCUAUUGCCUACAGUACUGUCUAAUAUGAUGCGUGCCGUAUGAUUAUGACUUAUAUGGAACCAUAUGUGGAUCUUGGCUUAGGUCGAUGUGCGGUAACAAAACCUUUAACCUAUUGGGAAUGCAGGACGAUAUAAGUGUGUUAUGAAAUGCUGGUGAUGAACUUGAUCUAAUGCUUUUGCCUGCCUUUUAGUGCUGUCAGUUUCAUGUAAAAUGCUGGUUUAAGGUUACAUAUUUCUCAUGGGUGAUUUCUUC
This 2798-nucleotide ribosomal RNA is filed under the name Triticum aestivum (bread wheat). Its description in RNAcentral is "partial small subunit ribosomal RNA". Lineage: Eukaryota; Viridiplantae; Streptophyta; Magnoliopsida; Poales; Poaceae. The record is from RNAcentral.